This 955-nucleotide long non-coding RNA is filed under the name Marmota monax (woodchuck). The record is from RNAcentral. Lineage: Eukaryota; Metazoa; Chordata; Mammalia; Rodentia; Sciuridae.
GAAGAUCUUAAGUGAGCCUUCUUGUUUUAUUUUUUAAAAUAUAAUUACUAAUGCACAUUAGUUAUACGAACCAUUGGGUUUCACUGUGAAUUUCCAUACAUGCAUAUGUCAUGUUUUGAUGAUAUCUAUUGGGAGUGGACCAGGCUCCAAAGACUAACUUCCCCAUCCCCCAAGAAGAGCCAUCCAAUGGUGAGCCCUGCUAGGCUCACAUGAUCCUGCCAUCCAAUGGUGAGACCUGCUGGCUCACAUGAUCCUUACCCACCAAUCAGACUAGCCCUGCUGACUCACAUGAUUCUUACCCACCAAUAAGACUAGCCCUGCUGGCUCACCUGAUCCUUACCCUCCAAUCAAAAAGCACCCUAUGCCAACUGUCAAACCACCCCUGACUCUAUAAAUAUUUGGAGCUGUUCCUCAAUAAACGGGCAUUUGCUCUGGUGAAGAGCCUUGUUCGUUCUUUCAAUAUACACCCUCCCAGGCAUAGUGGCACAUGCCUGUAAUCCCAGAGACUCAGGAGGCUGAGGCAGGAGGAUUGCAAGUUCAAGGUCAGCCUUAGCAACUUUGCAAGAACCUAGGCAACCUAGAAAGACCCUGUCUCAAAAAAUAAAAAAUAAAUAGGGCUGGGAUGUGGCUCGGUGGCUAAGCGUCCCUAGAUUCAAUUCGCAGUACCAAAUGGGUGGGGAAAAGAUCUGGUAAAAUAUAAUAGUAUAAUUUAAAAAUAAAAUAAAACAAUGAAUAAAAAUAUAGUCUGGUAAAAUUCAGUGGUGAAUUGAGCUAUAAAAAAUAUUGUUCUGUCUUCCUGAGUUAGCAUCAUUUCUGUUGUUUCUCUUGCUAUUGACUCUAGUUUCACUCUAUUAUGAUCUGAUAAGAUGCAUGAAAUGAUUUCAGUAUUUUGAGUUUGUUAAGAUUUGCUUUAGCAUCUGGGGUUGUGGCUCAUGGUAGAGUGCCUGCCUAGCAC